Molecule: long non-coding RNA, 6852 nt
Filed under: Manihot esculenta (cassava)
Lineage: Eukaryota; Viridiplantae; Streptophyta; Magnoliopsida; Malpighiales; Euphorbiaceae
Description: long non-coding RNA (MESC_LNC007571)
Source: RNAcentral
UUCAUAAAUCUUUACUAUGGCAGAAGGUAAAAGGGUCUCGAUUCCUAACUCUGAUAAUCCUUCCUUGCAAAUUAGUCCCAUAAAACUUGAUGGAACCAAUUAUCUUGCUUGGUCAAAGUCUUGUUUGUUGUUUAUCAAGGCUAGAGGACUGCAGGAUUAUGUUACUGGUAAUAAAAAACAACCUGAUGAGAGGGAUCCAGAUUUUCCUCAAUGGGACUCGGAUAAUUGUCUUGUUAUGACAUGGUUACUGAACUCUAUGCAACCUCAUAUCUCUAAGUCCUAUUUGUUAAUUGAUACUGCUGCAAAAAUAUGGAAAGCUUUGUCCUUAACUUAUUCCAAGAUUGGGAAUGAUGCCCAAAUUUAUGAUAUUCGGAAUAAGAUUCAUGGUACUAAGCAAGGAGAAAUGACUAUCUCCCAAUUUUAUUCUGAGUUAUGUGGCUUAUAAUAGGAGCUUGAUUACUAUCAAGACUUCUAGGCAUACUGCACUGGAGAUACAGUCAAAUUUCGGAGAAUGAUUGAAAAGAAGCGGGUCUAUGAUUUUCUUGCAGGGUUGAAUAACGAAUAUGAUCCAAUUCGGGUCCAAGUGUUGGGAAGAAAUCCUUUUCCUUCUCUAGAAGAGGCCCACGCCCAUGUUCAACAAGAGGAAAGUCGUCGACAUGUUAUAUACUGCACCAGUUGAAAAGGCUGGGUUGACUACUAGUUUGAGCACACCACAACCUCCUACUAUUGAGAAAGAUCACUUACACUAUGACUAUUGUGGAAAACCGAGGCAUACCAAAGAGACUUGUUGGAAGUUACAUGGUCGUCCCACUAGAGGUCGUGGAGGAAAAUGAGGUACCUCUAGAAAUCAAGCUACUUUAGCAGAAACUGUGGAGGAGCCCUUUAAGGAGACAACAACGACUGAGUUUCUUUCCCCUAAUGAACUUCAAAGUCUCAAGCGCUUCUUGUCUCAUAUUGACACCUCUUCAUCCUCUGAUGCCACAUCUAACUUUGUAAAGUCAGGUAAUGCUUCCUCUUUUAAUAAUGUUCCAUAGAUUAUCGAUUCUGGUGCGAAUAGACAUAUGACAGGCUCUUCUAAAGGCUUUCUCAAUUAUUCUCCUUCUCUAACCAAAGACAGUGUUAGAAUUGUUGAUGGCUCUUUUACUCCCAUAUCCGGAACAGGUUCUGUUAUUUGCACAUCCAACAUUAAAUUAUCAUUUGUCCUUCAUGUUCCCCACUUUCCUGUCAACCUUUUAUCUGUCAGUGUUAUCACCAAUGCUCUUAACUAUAAAAUUGAAUUCUUUCCUGAUCAUUGUGUUAUUCAGGAUCUUCGCACAGGGAAGAGGAUUGGCAAUGGUAGGCUGCAUGAUGGCUUAUACAUGUUGGAGGGUGAUCCGGGUUCUUCGAUAUCUCAAGCCUGUUUUGGAGAAAAUAAGGAUGUCAAUCGGGAAAUAAUACAGUGGCACCGGCGGUUAGGGCAUCCAUCAUUUUUUAUCUUAGAAAAACUUUAUCCUGAUCUGUUUGCUAAAACCCAGUUUGGCUCUUUAUUUUGUGAUGCUUGUGAGUAUGCUAAACACACUAGAACAUCCUAUCCUUUGAGUCAUAAUAAAAGUCAAAUUUCUUUUGACAACUAUUCAUUCUGAUGUUUGGGAGCCUACUCAAACUGUCUCCUUAUCCGGUAAUCGAUGGUUUGUCACCUUUAUUGAUUGUUGUACUCGAAUGACUUGGGUCUAUCUGAUUAAAGCUAAAAGUGAUGUCUUUUCUUGUUUUCAAUAUUUUCAUAAGAUGGUUUGUACUCAAUUUGAUACUAAAGUGAAAAUUUUGAGAACUGAUAAUGGAAGAGAAUACAUGGAUAGUACCUUUUCUGCUUAUUUGGAGUAAUGGGAUAGUACACCAGACUAGUUGUCCUUAUACUAGUGCUCAAAAUGGCGUUGCUGAGAGAAAAAAUAGGCAUCUAUUGGAGGUAGCUCGAUCUCUUAUGUUCACCAUGAAUCUAUCCAAAGCAUAUUGGGGAGAUGCAAUCCUUAUAUCUGCUUACCUUAUAAAUAGAAUGCCUCUCAAGACCCUUGACUUUAUGAGUCCUUUAGCGGUUCUACAAGAGAAGAAUUCAUAUUGUUGAAUCCCACAUCGGUUGUGGAAAGGGGUAAUGUGCCCCUUAUAUGGGCCAUAGGCACUCCUCCCCCUUGAGCUAGCUUUUGGGGUGAGUUAGGCCUGGCCCAAAUUUAACAUGAUAUCAGAGCCUCCCCAUCCGAUGUUGGGCACCCCAUAAAUGUGCCACGCACCGGUAAAAAUUCUGGACGUGAGGGGGUGUGUUGAAUCCCACAUCGGUUGUGGAAAGGGGUAAUGUGCCCCUUAUAUGGGCCAUAGGCACUCCUCCCCCUUGAGCUAGCUUUUGGGGUGAGUUAGGUCUGGCCCAAAUUUAACACAUAUGUUGUUCCACCAAAAGUAUUUGGGUGUGUUUAUUUUGUCCAUACUAGGACGGUAGGGAAAUUGGAUCCCAAGGCCCUCAAAUGUGUGUUUGUUGGGUAUUCUCCGACACAGAAGGGAUAUAGGUGUUAUCACCCUCCCUCUAGAAAAUACUUAGUCAGUAUGGAUGUUACCUUUCGAGAAACUGAACCCUACUUCAAUACCACCCACUCACCUCUUCAGGAGGAGAAUAAUGAGCAAGAAGAGGUGAUCCCGAAUUGUGUGAUUCUGGAUAAUAUGGUUCAACUAGAGAGUUUGAGUUCUAAUCGACGGGGGAGAUGUCCAAUCAGGGAGAAAGAAUUGGUCGUUUGGACAAACCAGAUUUGAGAAGGUAUUCAAGGAGAGACAAGGCAGAAGAAGCCAUUAUGCAGUCUACUCAGAGUUAAGAAUCUUCUUCUGGUGAGUUACCCACAACUCUUGAAUGCUUCAAUGAUUUAGAUAAACCGAUUGCACAAAGAAAACGAGUUAGAUCUCGUACUAAACAUCCUCUUUCUAACUUUGUUUCUUAUGAAUCCUUGUCUCCUUCCUAUAGAGCCUUUGCCUUGCCUAUUUCCUCUGUAUCUAUUUCACAGGAUUGGAAGAAAGCUCUUGCAGAACCUAAAUGGAAGGACGCAAUGAUUGAAGAGAGGAAAGCAUUGGCUAAAAAUGAAACCUAGGAGCUUGUCACUCUUCUACCUGGAAAGAAACUCGUUGGCUGUAAGUGGGUGUUCACAGUGAAAUACAAAGCUGAUGGUACAAUCGAAUGAUUUAAGGCCAGAUUGGUUGCUAAAGAUUUCACCCAAACCUAUGGAGUGGAUUAUCAAGAGACAUUUACCCCAGUUGCAAAAAUAAAUUCAAUCAGAAUUCUAUUAUCUUGCGCGGCCAACUUGGACUGGGACUUACAACAGUUUGAUGUGAAGAAUGCUUUCCUCCAUGGAGAUUUAGAGGAAGAAGUAUUCAUGGAAAUUCCUCUUGGGUUCGCUGAUGAGAAGACACAAGGAAAGGUGUGCAAGUUAAAAAAAGCUUUGUAUGGGCUAAAACAAUCUCCCAGAGCUUGGUUUGACAGGUUUAGUGGAGCCAUGAUGUCUUUUGGUUACCAACAAAGCAAUGUUGAUCACACUUUGUUUAUCAAACAUCAUAAGGGUAAGAUCACCCUUCUUAAUGUGUAUGUUGAUGAUAUAGUGUUGACAGGUGAUGACAAAGAGGAAAUGGCUCAACUAAAGAGGUUGUUGGCUCAGGAAUUUGAAAUCAAAGAUCUGGGAAAACUGCAAUAUUUUCUAGGUAUUGAGAUGGCUAGAUCAGAAAAAGGAAUUUUCAUCUCCCAAAGAAAGUACAUUAUGGAUCCUUUGGAAGAAACUGGUAUGAUGGGGUGUAAACCAGCAGAAUCUCCAAUUGAAAGUAAUCACAAGCUGAAAGCAAGAACUGGCGAGUCCGUGGAUAUUGGAAGAUAUCAGAGAUUGGUAGGAAGGUUGAUUUAUCUCUCACAUACUCGACCGGAUAUAGCCUAUGUUGUUAGCUUAGUCAGCCAAUUCAUGCAUGACCCUCGCGAGACUCAUAUGCAAGCUGUACUUCGCAUCUUGAGAUACCUAAAGUCUACGCCAGGGAAAGUGUUUUUUUACUCCAAACAUGGUCACCUCCGAAUUGAAACUUUUACAGAUGCAGAUUGGGCAGGAUCUCUCGAUGACAGGAGAUCCACAUCUGCCUACUGCACAACUAGUGGAGGGAACCUUGUCACUUGGAGGAGUAAAAAACAAAGUGUUGUUGCUCGGUCAAGUGCGGAAGCAGAAUACAAAGCAAUGUCCCAAGGAGUGUGUAAACUCUUAUGGUUGCAGAAGUUAUUGGAAGAGUUGAGAUUGUCCGAGAGAGACAAGAUAACCUUGUAUUGUGACAAUAGAGCUGCUAUAAGUAUAGCACAAAAUCCAGUCCAACAUGACCGAACAAAAUACAUUGAAAUUGAUCGGCACUUCAUUAAAGAAAAAUUAACGGACGGUGUCUUGAGCCUAGUUCAUGUGACUUCUACUGAGCAACUUGCGGAUGUGUUUACUAAAUGGCUUAACAACAAGAUCUACCAUAAUCUGAUUUGCAAGUUGGGCAUGUGUGACAUCUUUGCACCAAUUUGAGGGGGAGUGUUGACUUUUUAGCUAAUCUUAGCUGAUUCUAGGAAUUUGAUUGGAUCUGAUUAGGAUCCUUAAUUAUCUCUGUAAUUAUUAUUUGAUUAAUUAUUUGAUUCUUGUUUAAAUAUGAUUCUUUGUGUAUAAAUAGUCAUCUAGACCAAUUAUAAAGAUUAAGAGUGAAAUUGACAAGAAUACUCAAAAUUUUCUCAAAAUUCUUCAAAAGAAAAUGAAUUUGAAACAGGAAAAAGUUAAUUAUGAUCAUAAAUUGCAAAAUUUACCUUUUGUAUAUGGAUUUCUCCAUAAUAUCAACAAAAAACAAUUUUUUUUCCAUUUACUUAAAAGAGAAGGAAUGAAAGAAGAGGAAGAGACCUAUCUGAUGAAAAUAACACGAAUACUAAAAAUCAACUACUAACCACUAACCACAAACUCUUAACCCUAACCCUAACCUUAACCCUAUACUAACCCUAACACUUCACAAAUACUUAACAAACACUUCACAAACACAUAACAAACACUUCACAAACACUUAACAAAAACUUCAAAAACACUUAACAAACAAUAAACACUUGAACAUCAUACGUAAACUUCACACAUAAGUGUUUAUACAAAUACUUAAAAAACAGUUAACAAAUACUUUAACAAACACUUCACAAACACUUAACAAACACUAACAUUUAAGCAUCACACUUCACACUUAAAUACUAAACACCUUAACACACAAACAUACUCACACGCUUCAAACUUAACAAACAUUAACACUUAAACAUUACACUUCAUACUUUCACACUUAAAAAAUUAAACAUUUAACACUUAAACACACAAAUAAACUUACACACUCGUACACUUCAACAAACACUUAUACGUAACAAAAACUUAACAAAACACUUCAAAAAUACUGCACAAGGAUUUAACAAAUACUAACACUUGACAAACAGUAAUACUUAAAUAUCACACUUCACACUUAACACCUAAACACACAAACACUUUAACAGUACACACUUCACACCAUUUCACACUACACACUUCACACUUAAACAAAUAUUUUAACACUUUACGCUUCAAUAAACACUUUAACUUUUAACACCUUAACACUUCACACUUCACACUUCACAAACACUACCAUUCACCAAACACUACAACUUAAACAUCACACUUCACACAUAAGUAUUAACACCUUAACAGCUAAAUACACUUAAAAAAAACGUAACAAAUACUUCACAAACACUUAACAAACUAAUACCUAAGCAUCACACUUCACACCUUCACACUUAAACACCCCAACACACAAACACACUCACACACUUCACACUUAAGAAACACUAACACUUAAACAUCACACUUCACACUGCACGCUUUCACACAUAAACACUUAAACACCUAAACACUUAACACCUUAAGACCUAACUUUACAUACUUCACACGCUUCACACACUUCACACUUAAGAAACAAUAACACUUAAACAUCACACUUCACACUGCACAUUUUCACACGUAAACACCUAAACACCUAACUUAACACUUCACACACUUCACACUUCACACACUUCACAAACUUCACACUCUUCACAUUUCACACACUUCACACUCUUCACAACACCUAACUUCACACUUCACACACUUCACACUUCACACUUCACACUACACUUCACAUACAAUACACACACACUUUAAACUUCACACUCCACACUCUUCGCACUUCGCACUUCGCACUUCGCACUUCGCACUUCGCACUUCGCACUUCGCACUUCGCACUUCGCACUUCGCACUUCGCACUUCGCACUUCGCACUUCGCACUUCGCACUUCGCACUUCACACACUUCACGCUCUUCAUACUCUUCACAACACCUAACUUCAUAUUUCACACACUUCACACACUUUACACACUUUACACUUCACACACAAUUCACACACACUUCACACUUCACACUUCACACUCUUUGCACUUCACAUUUCACACUUCACACUCAUCACACUUGACACUCAUCACACUUGACACUUGACACUUCACACAUUUCACACUUCACACGUCACGCACUUGAACACUUUACACCCAUCACAAUUCACACUUCACACACUUCACACUUCCCCAAUUCCCGCACUUUGCACUUUGUCACACUUUGUCACAAUUCAAAUUUGUCAAACAUUUACACUUCACACAGCACACUUCACAUUUCACACUUUUCACACACUUCACAACAAGUGCUGAACAAAAUACUUACAAAACACUUCAAAAACACAUCUCAAGGACUUAACAAACAAUAACACUUAAAUAAACACUUAAAAAUCACACUUCACUAUUUACACCAAAACACCC